CUGAUAAAGCUGAUAUCUGCACUAUUAAACUCGAGAACACAACAGGACAGAUGCCAGUCAGACUGAAGCACAUGUAAGCGUCUUCAGUUUCUCAUCUCCGUGUCUGUGAAGUUUAUUUCGAGCGUUUGUCACAGUCUUGAACUGGAGAAUAAAGUUCAUGAACUCGCGCGAGUCUCAGCAGGAGCGCGCGCGCCACAAAUCGGCACGCGCCAUGUUUGUGUUUGAGAGCAAAUGGUUUGGAUUUCGCUUCACACCUUCGGAUCACCACAUAUGAUUAAACAAGAGCAUCUGAUUAUCACCAAAUCAUCAUAUUAAUAAAGCCAUACCUGUAAAUGCGCAAUCAGUCAGUUUUGCUAAGUUAUGAAAGGGAAUGUUCCCUGAACGUUUUAAAAACGUUUUUCUCGAACGUUAAGGGAAACAGAAACGUUACUUUUGAAUGUUCUGUAAACAUUUUGAAAUCUGGUAACAUUUAAAAAACCGUUAGGAAAACGUCAAACUAACUAAACGUUUCAUGAAUAAAUAAAUAAAUAAAUAAACAUUUAUACACGGAAGUGACGCAAUCAUUGCAAGCGCGCAAACUGUGCAGAAAUAUAUUGUGCCGUUGUUGAUCGUAUUAACGUAUAAAAACGAAAAAUAACAGAGAUUUCUCACACUUUAUAAAUAAAUAUUAACAACAUUAAUUAAUUAAAAGCACUUACAUGUGAAGGAAUGAGACAUUUGUCCUAUUUUUCAGUAUUUUCUGUGCGUAAACAAAUGAGAGACAAGCACAAGUCAUUAAAAAGAGUUGUUCUUAGUAAAUGUGUCAACUCGCCAUGUGUUGGCGGGAGUGUGACAUCACACCUUUACCAUCGCGCGUGUCAGACGCGAGGCGUGAACGCACCGUUUGGCACGAGCGCGCGUGCGGGUAUAUAAGGGCUCGAGACUUCAGUCUGAACAUCAUUCUGACCGGAAACACCCGCACGGAUUUACUAUUCACGAACAUCAUGGAGAAAAUCACUCUGACACACGGAUUAAACGCUGAAAUGAAACCCUGGAGACCUUGGAUCAGUAAACCCAGUAAUGGACGCAGAUCUGCCUCUCAUAAGCCUUAUGAAAGACCGUCAGCUGACGAGCAGCACUUUAAAGUGUCCACAGUCACACACCCUGUGAAGUUGUUCUGGCCCAAAUCCCAGUGUUUCGAUUACUUGUACCAGGACGCGGAGAUUCUCCUGCAAAAUUAUCCGGUUCAG
This is a long non-coding RNA of Ctenopharyngodon idella (grass carp), 1229 nucleotides long. RefSeq lists it as uncharacterized. The transcript has 3 exons. NCBI's taxonomy places the organism in Eukaryota, Metazoa, Chordata, Actinopteri, Cypriniformes, Xenocyprididae. The record is from RefSeq and is a predicted model, not a curated record.